This 433-nucleotide ribosomal RNA is filed under the name uncultured Roseburia sp. RNAcentral describes it as "partial 16S ribosomal RNA". It matches the Rfam family "Bacterial small subunit ribosomal RNA", at positions 341 to 792 of the family's 1533-position model. The record is from RNAcentral. Lineage: Bacteria; Bacillati; Bacillota; Clostridia; Lachnospirales; Lachnospiraceae.
ACGGGAGGCGCAGUGGGGAAUAUUGCACAAUGGGGGAAACCCUGAUGCAGCGACGCCGCGUGGGUGAAGAAGUUUUUCGGAAUGUAAAGUUCUAUCAGCAGGGAAGAUAAUGACGGUACCUGACUAAGAAGCACCGGCUAAAUACGUGCCAGCAGCCGCGGUAAUACGUAUGGUGCAAGCGUUAUCCGGAUUUACUGGGUGUAAAGGGAGCGCAGGCGGUACGGCAAGUCUGAUGUGAAAGCCCGGGGCUAAACCCCGGUACUGCAUUGGAAACUGUCGAACUAGAGUGUCGGAGGGGUAAGUGGAAUUCCUAGUGUAGCGGUGAAAUGCGUAGAUAUUAGGAGGAACACCAGUGGCGAAGGCGGCUUACUGGACGAUAACUGACGCUGAGGCUCGAAAGCGUGGGGAGCAAACAGGAUUAGAUACCCUGGUA